GCCGAAAUAUGUUGGUUGGGAGAGCGUUAGUCUGAUGAUCUAAAGGUCCCUGGUUCGAUUCCUGGUUUCGGCA
Molecule: non-coding RNA, 73 nt
Organism: Ctenocephalides felis (cat flea)
Lineage: Eukaryota; Metazoa; Arthropoda; Insecta; Siphonaptera; Pulicidae
Source: the annotation of a RefSeq genome assembly